UAGAAAAACACUUAUCAUUUUAAUAAAUAAAAUGAAAUUAUUUAUUUUAAAAGAAAUAAAAACUAGUAGAGAAAGAGCUUACAGCUGAAAAAAUAUCUUAGAUGCCUUUAGGUACAUAAUGCCAAGGUAUUUCAACAUCGAGUUUCUUCUUCUUCAGUUCUGUUCUAGACUUCUACUAUGCUAUCCUGUUCUAAGGUCUAUUCUCUAUCUUGCUCUGCAUCACCUCGCAUUUAGGAUACAUGGACUGAGCCACUCAAAAAUGGCUACAUCAGUUGUAUGGCAAGAUCUAGGACCAAACAGAUGUGCUACUAGAAAGAAACGAGAUUCAGAGUCCAUAUGUCUUCUGGGAGGGAUUCUAAUCACUACCUUCCUGGAUUUACAACAUACAAAAUGACAAGUGCGUCUAAAUGUGAAAUCCUUAAUGGCAGGUGCCAAUAAUAUUUUGAAGAGAGAGAUAUCAAGAGCAUCAGCUUCAUGCAAAUGGAAAGCAAUAAAAAUUCUAAAUGCUAUUUCCAUCAUACGUCUUCCAUCUUUCUAUUACAACCCUGAACUGAUUAUCCCUUUUCCUGACCUGCAAGCACCAAAGUGUUUUGAGUUCUUGACAGUGGUGAUGCGGCUUAGAAGCAAAAUAAGUUCAUAACGAAGGAAAAUGGAAGCAUCUGAAGAGAUUACGUCAACAAAACCAUAUCCCAUUAGAAAAUGGCAAUGUUUAAAAUAGAAAAUGUUAAGAUGGUUACACGUGCACAUGCACACAUGCAAAUUAUGUUUGCUUUAAUGUACCGCCUGAGCAAAAUUACAACCAUCAUGUAUGAGAAGCCUAAAUAUACAGCAGAAGCAAUAAAUAAAUGAUAUAUGCCAUCUGAAGAAUACGUAUGUCUACAAACAUUUUGAACUUGUUUUGAUACAGACUCUAAAGUCUAAACCAGUCUUUGACUUUUAUGGAAUUGAAAGUUGGGACAAACCCUUGUCACCAUUAACUCUUAAAAAUAUUGUAAUCAAUUACCCUAGAUUUUAAAUGCAUAGCGACUGAAAGAAUUACCUCAACUAAUGGGUUUUCUCCACGAAGCAACAUAUCCACACUCUUCUCUGUCCGAUGUGUAACCCAAUAAUGCCUCUCUCUCAUCUCAAUCAGGAAACAAAAUGUUGGAGGACCUUUUCUUUCAAGAAUGCUUUUCUGACUCCUCCUAGCUCGGGCUUCCUCAUCUCCUAAGGUAACAGUUUCUACUCCCCCAAUCUGAAACAACAAAAUUGACAAUUAUGAAACUUUAACAAGCAUUCUAGGAUGUAAAUUGCAUUUCCAUUCAUCAAUUAUCAAAACCUCAUCCAUUCAUCACAAGCAAAUUUGACUCAGAAUAUUCAGUAGCAUGCAUGAAAUGUAAGAAAACAGGUCUUGUCAAAUCAACAUUUAAGGCUGUUUUACAAAGAAAAAAAGGUACUUACAGAAAACACUCUUAAUGUUUGCUGCAUGUUACAUUAUGUUCUUCCAUUUUAAAAAACUAGUAAUUUAGUUAGUCAAUGGCUCUUAUAGAACUCAUUGUAACUUUGGAAACAAGAGGAGACCAAACUGUAUAUUACACAAUCUCAGGGAUUCUUUUGCAGUUUUCCCUCAUUUUAAAAGAAUAUUUGGAUAUCAAAUUCCAAUAAAAGACAAUGAAAUUUUAGAAGAAUGAGAUUAGACAAUCAAAUAGAAAUUUCAUAGUCCUGUAAUUGAACAGCAUUAACAAUUUUUAGAAAAACAAAGAAACUUUAGGUAAUCUGAAACUUGUUAAUAAGCUGCUUUGCAAUAAUACUUUUAGUAUCAAUAAAAACAAUCCACAUAAAGAGAGAGGAAAAAGGAGAAAUCAAUUCACUUUGCAAUGUAAACUAAUACAAGAAAGAAAAACUGAACAAGAGGACAAGAUAGACAUCUUUGCAUGCUAUUUGUACACCAAUUGUGUUCUAACAUAGGCAAUGAUGUAAACCACAACAAAGAAACAAAAUAAAACAACAACAAAAUGAAAAUAGUAAUAAGGAAACAAAUAUAAAUAUCUCUAAAGGAAUUUCACCUACUUAACUGAAAUACUAAUUUGUAAUGAAAUAAAAAAUGUAUGCUCUUCAAAACCUCUGAACUUCAACACUUGACCAAUCAGAACACACACGUAAAGCCUAAAAUUUCCAAAACAAAGAACUAAAAACAGCUCCCAAAUUUCUUUUUUCUUUGUCACAUUACUUUGGUGUAGGAGUCCUAAAUAACACCUCUACUAACAGUAAUUAGCAGUGUCUAAUAAUGAUUACCAUCCCCAUUUAUUAUCACCUAGAACAGGGAGGUAAGAUAUUCAAAAGACAAAUUAAAUCAAGCAUCAAACAAGAGAAAAUUAAUAAAACUAAGUAUUGACAAAAAUGCAAAGGGUGACAUUCAAGGAUAUGUUUUUAUGAGGAUAUUUAGCAUUCUGUCCAUAGUUCAAUAAAGAAAAUGUAUAAGAGUGAGAGAAUCACUUUACACAUCAAUACUCUAAACCAUAGUUAUUAAAGGCU
This 2514-nucleotide unclassified non-coding RNA is filed under the name Hevea brasiliensis (rubber tree). The record is from RNAcentral. Lineage: Eukaryota; Viridiplantae; Streptophyta; Magnoliopsida; Malpighiales; Euphorbiaceae.